AUUGAACGCUGGCGGCAGGCCUAACACAUGCAAGUCGAACGGUAACAGGAAGAAGCUUGCUUCUUUGCUGACGAGUGGCGGACGGGUGAGUAAUGUCUGGGAAACUGCCUGAUGGAGGGGGAUAACUACUGGAAACGGUAGCUAAUACCGCAUAACGUCGCAAGACCAAAGAGGGGGACCUUCGGGCCUCUUGCCAUCGGAUGUGCCCAGAUGGGAUUAGCUAGUGGGUGGGGUAACGGCUCACCUAGGCGACGAUCCCUAGCUGGUCUGAGAGGAUGACCAGCCACACUGGAACUGAGACACGGUCCAGACUCCUACGGGAGGCAGCAGUGGGGAAUAUUGCACAAUGGGCGCAAGCCUGAUGCAGCCAUGCCGCGUGUAUGAAGAAGGCCUUCGGGUUGUAAAGUACUUUCAGCGGGGAGGAAGGGAGUAAAGUUAAUACCUUUGCUCAUUGACGUUACCCGCAGAAGAAGCACCGGCUAACUCCGU
This 489-nucleotide ribosomal RNA is filed under the name uncultured bacterium. Its description in RNAcentral is "partial 16S ribosomal RNA". It matches the Rfam family "Bacterial small subunit ribosomal RNA", at positions 30 to 506 of the family's 1533-position model. The record is from RNAcentral.